Athelia psychrophila is the source of this 76-nucleotide non-coding RNA. The record is from the annotation of a GenBank genome assembly. NCBI's taxonomy places the organism in Eukaryota, Fungi, Basidiomycota, Agaricomycetes, Atheliales, Atheliaceae.
GACCCGAUGGUGUAGUGGCUAGCACGUCUGCCUUAAGUAAUAGCAGAAGGCUCCUGUUCGAUUCAGGAUCGGGUCG